This 481-nucleotide ribosomal RNA is filed under the name uncultured bacterium. RNAcentral's name for it is "partial 16S ribosomal RNA". It matches the Rfam family "Bacterial small subunit ribosomal RNA", at positions 29 to 523 of the family's 1533-position model. The record is from RNAcentral.
AAUGAACGUUGGCGGCGUGGAUUAGGCAUGCAAGUCGAGCGCGAACCCCGCAAGGGGUGAAAGCGGCGAAAGGGAGAGUAACGCGUGGGUAUCUGCCCUCGGGACUGGGAUAGCAGCGGGAAACUGCAGGUAAUACCAGAUGACGUCCCCGGACCAAAGGUGUGAUUCCGCCUGAGGAUGAGCCCGCGUCCUAUUAGCUAGUUGGUAGGGUAAUGGCCUACCAAGGCAAUGAUGGGUACUGGGUGUGAGAGCACGACCCAGCUCACUGGGACUGAGACACUGCCCAGACACCUACGGGUGGCUGCAGUCGAGAAUCUUCGGCAAUGGGCGAAAGCCUGACCGAGCGACGCCGCGUGUGGGAUGAAGGCCUUCGGGUUGUAAACCGCUGUCAGAGGGGAGGAAUGGGCGGAGGGUAAUCUCUUCGUUUUGACGGUACCAUAUGAAUAAGAGGUUGCAAACUCUGUGCCAGCCGCCGCGGUAA